Molecule: ribosomal RNA, 270 nt
Filed under: uncultured archaeon
Lineage: Archaea
Description: partial 16S ribosomal RNA
Rfam family: Archaeal small subunit ribosomal RNA
Source: RNAcentral
CAGCACCUCAAGUGGUCAGGAUGAUUAUUGGGCCUAAAGCAUGCGUAGCCGGCGCUGUAAGUUUUCGGUUAAAUCUGUACGCUCAACGUACAGGCUGCCGGGAAUACUGCAGCGCUAGGGAGUGGGAGAGGUAGACGGUACUCGGUAGGAAGGGGUAAAAUCCUUUGAUCUAUUGAUGACCACCUGUGGCGAAGGCGGUCUACCAGAACACGUCCGACGGUGAGGGAUGAAAGCUGGGGGAGCAAACCGGAUUAGAUACCCGAGUAGUCC